GUGCCAGCAGCCGCGGUAAUACGUAGGGUGCAAGCGUUAAUCGGAAUUACUGGGCGUAAAGCGUGCGCAGGCGGUUUUGUAAGUCUGUCGUGAAAGCCCCGGGCUCAACCUGGGAAUUGCGAUGGAGACUGCAAGGCUUGAAUCUGGUAGAGGGGGGUAGAAUUCCACGUGUAGCAGUGAAAUGCGUAGAGAUGUGGAGGAACACCGAUGGCGAAGGCAGCCCCCUGGGUCAAGAUUGACGCUCAUGCACGAAAGCGUGGGGAGCA
This 266-nucleotide ribosomal RNA is filed under the name uncultured Burkholderiales bacterium. RNAcentral's name for it is "partial 16S ribosomal RNA". It matches the Rfam family "Bacterial small subunit ribosomal RNA", at positions 505 to 770 of the family's 1533-position model. The record is from RNAcentral. Lineage: Bacteria; Pseudomonadati; Pseudomonadota; Betaproteobacteria; Burkholderiales.